This 305-nucleotide long non-coding RNA is filed under the name Phoenix dactylifera (date palm). RNAcentral's name for it is "long non-coding RNA (PDAC_LNC009309)". The record is from RNAcentral. Lineage: Eukaryota; Viridiplantae; Streptophyta; Magnoliopsida; Arecales; Arecaceae.
UAUGAUUCAUCAGGACUCAAGGUUGCUACCAGACUUAACAAUAUAAUGUUGAACCUAACCCUUAGAAGUGCAGGCCAUGUGUGUUGUGAAAUUCUAAAGUAAAAAAAUUAUCUUACAACUCGCUAAAAGAACUUUUAAUAAAAAGAACUCAAAUUGACUUACUCCUGACUAGUCAUUGGACUUUUUAGAUUUUAUAUACUUUGUGUGUUUAUCAUUUCAGUACUAAAGCAUAGAAAUUAGGUUUUUUUUAAUGAAAAACUUAUUCAAAAAUACAAAAAAUUUCUUCAAAAAUUCGAAUCCUAUAC